RNAcentral lists this long non-coding RNA (1148 nucleotides) under Papio anubis (olive baboon). RNAcentral describes it as "lncRNA (ENSPANG00000043174.1)". The record is from RNAcentral. Lineage: Eukaryota; Metazoa; Chordata; Mammalia; Primates; Cercopithecidae.
UGAUGGACCUAAGCUGAAUGUAACCUCAACUGUGAAUAGAGCCAGAACUGUGUAGAACUUCCAGUCAUCUCCAUAGAAAUACAGAAUGCAUAGAACAUACAAGGGUAAGAAGAUGAAUCAUGUGGAAAGAUAUCCCGGCCCGCGGGAUCGUCGAAGCAGGCCCUGGAGGAGGGAGUGGGAAUUUGGGGGACAAGAGACACGAGAAAUGGAGACAAGACAGUGCUCUGAUCAAGUCUCGUUUAAUGGCGGUAAUGCAAUGCCUUAUAUACACUUGGAGGGGAAGGGGUUGGGCCAGAGGCGGAGAUGAUCUCAUCGCGGAGGGUGUGGCUAGGUAGGUAUUGGUUUCUCUGGUCGGAGGUCAUGUUGUGCCUGCGCUGUCAGUUGGUAAUUUUCCCGGGCGCAGGAUGGUGCCUGCGCUACAAAGUAACAAUUUUCGCGGCGCGGGGGAAAAACAGGUGAAGAAAAAACAGGAAGAGCACCAUCUUUUAUGAGAUGGUGUCCUGGGUAGCUGAACUGUGGAAAGCAAAACCGUGGAUAAGGGGGAACUACUAUAUUGAAAAAUGUGCAAAAUAGAGAAGAUUUCAUUGAAGAAGUCUGCUGUUUUUGGAAUGGGAAAUUAAGAUAAAAAUUGAAGCUCUCAUCUUCUAUAACAUCAUGGGUACUUUUGAGGCAUAACUGGAACAGUUAUCUACUGUGAUUCUUGCUGGGACCAAUAACCUUCUACAGAUACCAGCAUCAGCUCCCAUGAAAGGCAAAGAGCUGACAAGUAUAUGGACUGCACCUCCACAUUAAGCUACCAGGAGAAACUUCCAAGUUACCCUCUUGUCACCUAUGCCCCAAAGGUGAACACUGUAAACUGCUACAGCAUGCAAUUUAGAUCUAAACCUCAAGAUUCAACUGGAUUUUCAUUGAAAUUCACCACGAUCCCCUCUGCAGCUGUGGUCUCAAAAUACCAUUUCUGCAUUUAUUUUAGCUCAUGGAAUAACUCUGCUGAGAAACCACAGAGUCAAUCAGACUCAAAAUGCUUAAAAUCCUUCCUGCUUGGAGUUUUCCGUCUUCACAUCAAAGCAUUUCAUGCCCGUCAGCAACUUUUUAAUGCAUUUGCUCCUCAUUUGCACAAUUUCCAUUUAAAGACGUUCCUUGGCUGA